RNAcentral lists this ribosomal RNA (253 nucleotides) under uncultured bacterium. Its description in RNAcentral is "partial 16S ribosomal RNA". It matches the Rfam family "Bacterial small subunit ribosomal RNA", at positions 524 to 776 of the family's 1533-position model. The record is from RNAcentral.
UACGGAGGGGGCAAGCGUUAUUCGGAAUUAUUGGGCGUAAAGGGCGCGUAGGCGGCUAGAUGUGUCAAAGGUGAAAUCCCUCGGCUCAACUGAGGAACUGCCUUUGAAACUGUCUGGCUUGAGGCCGGGAGAGGGUAGCGGAAUUCCCAGUGUAGCGGUGAAAUGCGUAGAUAUUGGGAGGAACACCAGUGGCGAAGGCGGCUGCCUGGACCGGUUCUGACGCUGAGGCGCGAAAGCGUGGGGAGCAAAAGGG